Molecule: unclassified non-coding RNA, 1461 nt
Filed under: uncultured Sporadotrichida
Lineage: Eukaryota; Ciliophora; Spirotrichea; Sporadotrichida
Description: sequence contains 18S rRNA gene, ITS1, 5.8S rRNA gene, ITS2, 28S rRNA gene
Rfam family: Eukaryotic large subunit ribosomal RNA (bases 491-1461)
Source: RNAcentral
GGAAGGAUCAUUAACACUAAUCCAAUCAUCUAAACCUAGCCUUAUGUUGCUGCAUUAGUACGAGCUAGCGAAAGCAGGCAUGAACUCUUGCAGCAUCUACAAAACUAAUUCAAAGGAGCAUAACUAAGCUCUAUACCAAAACCAAAUUCUCAACGAUGGAUAUCUUGGUUCCCAUAACGAUGAAGAACGCAGCGAAGUGCGAUAAGCAGUGCGAAUUGCAGAACCGUGAGUCAUCAGAUUUUUGAACGCAACUGGCGCCAGCUGGCUCUCCAGCUGGCAUGCUUGUUUCAGUGUCUCGUUUUCUCCUCACCCAAAUCUUAAUGCUUGAGAUACCCUUCUCUUGCUAAGUUCGAAGCACUCUACAUUCUGCAGGCAGCCUUGACUUGUCAAGGGUUGCACUCAAUGCAGCAGUCACAUUUCUAAUGUGAACUCAUUGAGAGUGGAAGUAGUGCAGCUUGUCUGCCAGUGCUUAGUCACUCAAACUUUACUUGCAUCUGAAAUCAAGCAGGAUCACCCGCUGAACUUAAGCAUAUCACUAAGCGGAGGAAAAGAAAUUAACUAAGAUUGCCUCAGUAACGGCGAGUGAAGCGGCAAAAGCCCAAACUGGAAAUCUUCACACUGCGUGUGACGAAUUGUAAUCUACAGGUGGGACACUCAACGAGUUUUGAUGCAUAAGUGACCUCGAAUGGUCCGCCAAAGAGGGUGGCAGCCCCGUUCAUGGCAUCGAAGCUCACCGAGUGCCUUUCGAAGAGUCGGGUUGUUUGGAAUUGCAGCCCUAAGUGGGGGAUAGACUUCCUCUAAGGCUAAAUACAUAUGGGAAACCGAUAGCGAACAAGUACUGUGAAGGAAAGAUGAAAAGAACUUUGAAAAGAGAGUCAAAAGACUUGAAAUCGUUGAGAAGGAAGCGGUAGAAAUUUAUUCUUCUAUGCAGGAUGAUGGUGUGCGCCUAUCCAUUCUGGCUUGCCAACACUUCAACGGUUGCGGGCUUUACAUGGGGAAGCGCCAGCUGGAUCCUGCAUUGAGAGGCAAAAUGAGGUCCAGCCUCCACAAAAGCUUGGUAGACCUGGACUGGUUCGCCAGUCAGUCUGCCUUCCACUGUGGAGACUUGGCCUGAGGAAGCCUUGUGCGAUUUUGCCAAAAUGGUUUUUACCGACCCGUCUUGAAACACGGACCAAGGAGUCUAACAUAUAUGCGAGUGUGCUGGUGGAGAAACCAACACGCAAAAGGAAACUAAUUGAUGCCAAGCUUACGCAGCAGCAUCGACCAACCAUGAUCCUCUGGAGAAAGGUUUGAGUAUGAGCAUAUCUGUUAGGACCCGAAAGAUGGUGAACUAUGCCUGGGUAGGGUGAAGCCAGGGGAAACUCUGGUGGAGGCUCGUAGCGGUUCUGACGUGCAAAUCGAUCGUCAAACUUGGGUAUAGGGGCGAAAGACUAAUCGAACCAUCUAGUAGCUGGUUCCCUC